Pelobates cultripes (western spadefoot toad) is the source of this 259-nucleotide non-coding RNA. Lineage: Eukaryota; Metazoa; Chordata; Amphibia; Anura; Pelobatidae. The record is from the annotation of a GenBank genome assembly.
GAAAAGUUGUAAAACCUUGGCUAACAGUUAAAUCAACUGAGUAACCCUUUCAAUGCUGGCUAGAUCCUCCUAGGCAUAUACUAUCCUAUUCUCAUGUAAUUUUCAAUUAAAAUAACAUUCGAACCAGCUCAUUAAUCAUUUCCUGGAACCAUCCAAUAAGAAUAAUCUACCAGAUUUUUACAAAAGCCAAAUUUUAAUUUGCCUAAAAAGAUAUCUUAUCUUAUAUUAGAGCAAAUCAAUACACCUAGAUAAAAACAGC